CCUACGGGCGGCUGCAGUGGGGAAUAUUGGACAAUGGGCGAAAGCCUGAUCCAGCCAUGCCGCGUGUGUGAAGAAGGCCUUCGGGUUGUAAAGCACUUUCAGUGGGGAAGAAAGCCUUGGGGCUAAUACCCUCGAGGAAGGACAUCACCCACAGAAGAAGCACCGGCUAACUCCGUGCCAGCAGCCGCGGUAAUACGGAGGGUGCGAGCGUUAAUCGGAAUUACUGGGCGUAAAGCGCGCGUAGGCGGUCUGAUAAGCCGGUUGUGAAAUCCCCGGGCUCAACCUGGGAACGGCAUCCGGAACUGUCAGGCUAGAGUGCAGGAGAGGAAGGUAGAAUUCCCGGUGUAGAGGUGAAAUGCGUAGAGAUCGGGAGGAAUACCAGUGGCGAAGGCGGCCUUCUGGACUGACACUGACGCUGAGGUGCGAAAGCGUGGGUAGCAAACAGGAUUAGAUACCCGGUAGUC
Molecule: ribosomal RNA, 464 nt
Filed under: Vreelandella stevensii
Lineage: Bacteria; Pseudomonadati; Pseudomonadota; Gammaproteobacteria; Oceanospirillales; Halomonadaceae
Description: partial 16S ribosomal RNA
Rfam family: Bacterial small subunit ribosomal RNA
Source: RNAcentral